Molecule: ribosomal RNA, 785 nt
Filed under: uncultured Glomus
Lineage: Eukaryota; Fungi; Glomeromycota; Glomeromycetes; Glomerales; Glomeraceae
Description: SSU rRNA
Rfam family: Eukaryotic small subunit ribosomal RNA
Source: RNAcentral
AUGGUAGGAUAGAGGCCCACCAUGGUGGUAACGGGUAACGGGGUGUUAGGGCACGACACCGGAGAGGGAGCCUGAGAAACGGCUACCACAUCCAAGGAAGGCAGCAGGCGCGCAAAUUACCCAAUCCCGACACGGGGAGGUAGUGACAAUAAAUAACAAUACAGGGUUCUUUGAAUCUUGUAAUUGGAAUGAGUACAAUUUAAAUCUCUUAACGAGGAACAAUUGGAGGGCAAGUCUGGUGCCAGCAGCCGCGGUAAUUCCAGCUCCAAUAGCGUAUAUUAAAGUUGUUGCAGUUAAAAAGCUCGUAGUUGAAUUUCGGGAUCAAUACGUCGGUCGUGCUUUCGGGUACGUACUGGCGUCAUUGGUUUCUCCUUUCUGACGAACCAUGAUGUCAUUAAUUUGGUGUUAUGGGGAGUUAGGACUGUUACUUUGAAAAAAUUAGAGUGUUUAAAGCAGGCAUUAGCUUGAAUACAUUAGCAUGGAAUAAUGAAAUAGGACGUUCGAUCCUAUUUUGUUGGUUUCUAGGAUCAACGUAAUGAUUAAUAGGGAUAGUUGGGGGCAUUAGUAUUCAAUUGUCAGAGGUGAAAUUCUUGGAUUUAUUGAAGACUAACUACUGCGAAAGCAUUUGCCAAGGAUGUUUUCAUUAAUCAAGAACGAAAGUUAGGGGAUCGAAGACGAUCAGAUACCGUCGUAGUCUUAACCAUAAACUAUGCCGACUAGGGAUCGGAUGAUGUUAAUUUUUUAAUGACUCAUUCGGCGCCUUACGGGAAACCAAAGUGUUUGGG